AAACCAUCCCAAACAAGAAGCAGAAAAUUUGGAACAUACACCCCUGCACCAGAGCAAUCCAUAAACUCAAAAAUUUCUUCAAGGCACCACGAAGCUUAAGAGUUCUUCAUUGUGAAGCCCAAGCCUUAAACUAGAAGAAGUAGAAGAAAGACCGGUAACCAGGCUUUUCACUGGCCAACUGAAGCCACAGAAUGCCACUGCUUUUCACUACAUAGGUAUCUGCACCCUUGAUGCCAAUAGGAUGAUGGUGUAUUCUGAGUACCACCCCUCAUUCAUCUUAAAGCUUGCUUUCAGCCCUGAUCC
This is a long non-coding RNA of Bos taurus (domestic cattle), 303 nucleotides long. NCBI's taxonomy places the organism in Eukaryota, Metazoa, Chordata, Mammalia, Artiodactyla, Bovidae. The record is from Ensembl.